This 70-nucleotide transfer RNA is filed under the name Dipodomys ordii (Ord's kangaroo rat). It matches the Rfam family "tRNA". Rfam says of the family: Transfer RNA (tRNA) molecules are approximately 80 nucleotides in length. The record is from Rfam by way of RNAcentral. Lineage: Eukaryota; Metazoa; Chordata; Mammalia; Rodentia; Heteromyidae.
GGGAAUGUGGCUUAGUGGUAGAGUGCUUGCCUAUCAUGCAUGAAGCCCUGGGUUCAAUUCCUCAGCACCA